This 442-nucleotide ribosomal RNA is filed under the name uncultured Bellilinea sp. Its description in RNAcentral is "bacterial SSU rRNA". It matches the Rfam family "Bacterial small subunit ribosomal RNA", at positions 28 to 480 of the family's 1533-position model. Lineage: Bacteria; Bacillati; Chloroflexota; Anaerolineae; Anaerolineales; Anaerolineaceae. The record is from RNAcentral.
GAUGAACGCUGGCGGCAUACCUAAUACAUGCAAGUCGAACGAGGCCCUUUGUAUUCGUACGAAGGUGUCCUAGUGGCGAACGGGUGAGUAACACGUAGGUGACCUACCCCUAAGCGGGGGACAACUCCGGGAAACUGGAGCUAAUACCCCAUGUUCUCCAUGGUGUUAGAGGACCAUGGAGCAAAGGAGCAAUCCACUUUGGGAGGGGCCUGCAGCCCAUCAGCUAGUUGGUAGGGUAAUGGCCUACCAAGGCUAUGACGGGUAGGGGACCUGAGAGGGUGGUCCCCCACACUGACACUGAAACACGGGUCAGACACCUACGGGUGGCAGCAGUAGGGAAUAUUGCACAAUGGGCGAAAGCCUGAUGCAGCAACGCCGCGUGCGCGAUGAAGGCCUUCGGGUUGUAAAGCGCUUUUCUGGGGGAAGAGGAAGGACGGUACCC